AUGAGAUUGAUACAAAAUCAGUAAGACAUGAAUAUAUUGCUGAAUCUAGUAACAGUGCUAAUGCUGCUGAUGACAAUUUCCUGCUUGAUGAGCCAUUCUUGGAUGCCAUUGACAAUCCUUUAUCCAGUGAAGGAUUAUUCCUGGAAGCUAAUGAUCUUUCAAAUCCUGUGGAGCCAGACUCUACUGGAGAUUCUACUGUUUUUGACAUGGUUGACGAGUACCUCAAUUUCUUUGAUGCUAAUGAUGACAAUCUGACUUUUGAUCCUUCUGAACUUGGGUGCGAAAAUGCUGUUUCCGAUCAAGCUUCUCUACCUGAGAAGGAUGUAAAUGGAGGAACUGAGGAAGUGCCAACGGCAAUCCAAAAACUAUUAGCAACACACAGUAACACUGAUGCAUCCCCCUCAAAGCAACAAAUGCCAGUGGCAACAAAGAUUGACUCAGAUAUGAAAUAUCCAUUCAUGAAGCAGGCCAGUCACAUGUU
This 481-nucleotide unclassified non-coding RNA is filed under the name Hevea brasiliensis (rubber tree). Lineage: Eukaryota; Viridiplantae; Streptophyta; Magnoliopsida; Malpighiales; Euphorbiaceae. The record is from RNAcentral.